This 849-nucleotide long non-coding RNA is filed under the name Serinus canaria (Common canary). RNAcentral describes it as "lncRNA (ENSSCAG00000001570.1)". The record is from RNAcentral. Lineage: Eukaryota; Metazoa; Chordata; Aves; Passeriformes; Fringillidae.
ACCUGGGCAGGUGUGACAAGGACAGGUGGGACAAGCCCAGGGACAUCGGUGACACCUGUCACGCGUUGUCACCUGUGUCACACCUGUGCCACACCUGUGUCACUCCCCGUGUCCCCAACACCGCCAAGGGUUGUGUCACACACACAGGGCCGAGCCCAGGUGUGUCACACUCAGGUGUGUCCCAGGUGUCCCCUCCAUGUCACACUCAGGUGUGUCCCACUCAGCUGUGUCACACACUCAGGUGUGUCCCAGGUGUAUCCCAGGAGUGUCCCAGGUGUCCCACUCAGGUGUGUCACACACUCAGGUGUGUCCCAGGUGUCCCCUCCGUGUCCCACCUGGCGCCACCGGCUCCGGCCGCACCUGCAGAGACACCCAGGGGGGAUUUUAGGGAAUUUUAGGGAAUUUUCCCUUUUCCCCAAGAUUUUUCCCCAAAAUUUUUUUAGGAUUUUCCCCCAAAAUUUUUUUACAAUUUUCCCCCAAAAUUUUUUUACAAUUUUCCCCCAAAUUUUUUUAAGAUUUUCCCCAAAAUUUUUAAGAUUUUCCCCCAAAUUUUUUAAGAUUUUCCCCCAAAUUUUUUAAGAUUUUCCCCAAAAUUCUUUAAGAUUUUCCCCCAAAUUUUUAAGAUUUUUUUCCCCCAAUUUUUAUAAGAUUCUUUUUCCCCAUUUUUCUAAAAUUUUCCUCCAAAUCUUUUUACAAUUUUCCCCUAUUUUUUUAAAUAUUUUACCCCAAAUUUUAAGAUUUUCCACCCAUUUUUUUAGGAUUUCCCCCCAUUUUUUAGGAUUUUUUCAGCAUUUUUCCCUCCCGUUUUUUAGGAUUUCCCAAAUCCCCUUCCCAGUUUUUUUUUUUUUA